RNAcentral lists this long non-coding RNA (746 nucleotides) under Olea europaea subsp. europaea. Lineage: Eukaryota; Viridiplantae; Streptophyta; Magnoliopsida; Lamiales; Oleaceae. The record is from RNAcentral.
GAUUAUUCACCAACAGCUACACAUAAUCUUAUUCAAUUGCUCUUCAAGGUUUUGUACAAAGCAUUAAUCGGAUUAGGAUGUUGAAAAUUAUUCAUACUCCGUAAUGACAGCGUGUAAAGUUCUGGGUAAUUUUCUUUAUAAGCAUACCAAUAGAUUACAAUAUCUAAAGAAACUUUCUAAAUUAUACCACACCAUUAUGUACAUAGAGUGAUCCCACAAAUGAGAAAACAGCAGGCAGAUUGAUUCUCCACUCUAAAUAUGUAUAGUAAUCUCCUCCAACAUUACCUGCAGAAAAUUGAGAUGAAAUGAAAAUCCCUCUCUCCGUAUCAUCAACAAUAUCAGUUAAAAUGGGCAAGUUUAGUAUGCAGUAAUAGAUAGUACGUUGGUAUUGUCCAUUGUUAUAGACAACAAUUUAUGGUCGGGUUACAUGUAUAUCACAAUUUACAUAUUUGUUUACCAAGCGAAAUUUGAUUGGAUCAAAAUCUCAUCAACCAAAUAAAACAAGAUAAAUUUCCCCACUUUCUUGAUACCUCAUCAUCUGUAAAAUAUUACGUAAAUGGUGAUGUACAAGAAGCGUUUUCCAACAUCUUAACAUCUGAACUUACCAGUUAAACAAGUGAAUUCUGACUUGAUUAGAGUGCCAUCUCUGCUUGCAAAGCGGCAAGUUCAUCUUCCUCUGUAUGUUUCUGAGGAGCAGGGCGAGCAGGUACUCUGCCUUCUGGGACUUGAACUGGAGCAGCUGGGGC